This 253-nucleotide ribosomal RNA is filed under the name uncultured bacterium. RNAcentral describes it as "partial 16S ribosomal RNA". It matches the Rfam family "Bacterial small subunit ribosomal RNA", at positions 524 to 776 of the family's 1533-position model. The record is from RNAcentral.
UACGUAGGGGGCUAGCGUUGUCCGGAUUUAUUGGGCGUAAAGAGCGCGUAGGCGGCCAAGUAGGUCCGUUGUGAAAACUGGAGGCUUAACCUCCAGCUGUCGAUGGAAACCAUUUGGCUAGAGUCCGGAAGAGGAGAGUGGAAUUCCUGGUGUAGCGGUGAAAUGCGCAGAUAUCAGGAGGAACACCAAUAGCGAAGGCAGCACACUGGUACGUGACUGACGCUGAGACGCGAAAGCGUGGGGAGCAAACAGG